Molecule: ribosomal RNA, 2836 nt
Filed under: Shigella flexneri
Lineage: Bacteria; Pseudomonadati; Pseudomonadota; Gammaproteobacteria; Enterobacterales; Enterobacteriaceae
Description: partial 23S ribosomal RNA
Rfam family: Bacterial large subunit ribosomal RNA
Source: RNAcentral
GUUAAGCGACUAAGCGUACACGGUGGAUGCCCUGGCAGUCAGAGGCGAUGAAGGACGUGCUAAUCUGCGAUAAGCGUCGGUAAGGUGAUAUGAACCGUUAUAACCGGCGAUUUCCGAAUGGGGAAACCCAGUGUGAUUCGUCACACUAUCAUUAACUGAAUCCAUAGGUUAAUGAGGCGAACCGGGGGAACUGAAACAUCUAAGUACCCCGAGGAAAAGAAAUCAACCGAGAUUCCCCCAGUAGCGGCGAGCGAACGGGGAGCAGCCCAGAGCCUGAAUCAGUGUGUGUGUUAGUGGAAGCGUCUGGAAAGGCGUGCGAUACAGGGUGACAGCCCCGUACACAAAAAUGCACAUACUGUGAGCUCGAUGAGUAGGGCGGGACACGUGGUAUCCUGUCUGAAUAUGGGGGGACCAUCCUCCAAGGCUAAAUACUCCUGACUGACCGAUAGUGAACCAGUACCGUGAGGGAAAGGCGAAAAGAACCCCGGCGAGGGGAGUGAAAAAGAACCUGAAACCGUGUACGUACAAGCAGUGGGAGCACGCUUAGGCGUGUGACUGCGUACCUUUUGUAUAAUGGGUCAGCGACUUAUAUUCUGUAGCAAGGUUAACCGAAUAGGGGAGCCGAAGGGAAACCGAGUCUUAACUGGGCGUUAAGUUGCAGGGUAUAGACCCGAAACCCGGUGAUCUAGCCAUGGGCAGGUUGAAGGUUGGGUAACACUAACUGGAGGACCGAACCGACUAAUGUUGAAAAAUUAGCGGAUGACUUGUGGCUGGGGGUGAAAGGCCAAUCAAACCGGGAGAUAGCUGGUUCUCCCCGAAAGCUAUUUAGGUAGCGCCUCGUGAAUUCAUCUCCGGGGGUAGAGCACUGUUUCGGCAAGGGGGUCAUCCCGACUUACCAACCCGAUGCAAACUGCGAAUACCGGAGAAUGUUAUCACGGGAGACACACGGCGGGUGCUAACGUCCGUCGUGAAGAGGGAAACAACCCAGACCGCCAGCUAAGGUCCCAAAGUCAUGGUUAAGUGGGAAACGAUGUGGGAAGGCCCAGACAGCCAGGAUGUUGGCUUAGAAGCAGCCAUCAUUUAAAGAAAGCGUAAUAGCUCACUGGUCGAGUCGGCCUGCGCGGAAGAUGUAACGGGGCUAAACCAUGCACCGAAGCUGCGGCAGCGACGCUUAUGCGUUGUUGGGUAGGGGAGCGUUCUGUAAGCCUGUGAAGGUGUACUGUGAGGUAUGCUGGAGGUAUCAGAAGUGCGAAUGCUGACAUAAGUAACGAUAAAGCGGGUGAAAAGCCCGCUCGCCGGAAGACCAAGGGUUCCUGUCCAACGUUAAUCGGGGCAGGGUGAGUCGACCCCUAAGGCGAGGCCGAAAGGCGUAGUCGAUGGGAAACAGGUUAAUAUUCCUGUACUUGGUGUUACUGCGAAGGGGGGACGGAGAAGGCUAUGUUGGCCGGGCGACGGUUGUCCCGGUUUAAGCGUGUAGGCUGGUUUUCCAGGCAAAUCCGGAAAAUCAAGGCCGAGGCGUGAUGACGAGGCACUACGGUGCUGAAGCAACAAAUGCCCUGCUUCCAGGAAAAGCCUCUAAGCAUCAGGUAACAUCAAAUCGUACCCCAAACCGACACAGGUGGUCAGGUAGAGAAUACCAAGGCGCUUGAGAGAACUCGGGUGAAGGAACUAGGCAAAAUGGUGCCGUAACUUCGGGAGAAGGCACGCUGAUACGUAGGUGAAGCGACUUGCUCGUGGAGCUGAAAUCAGUCGAAGAUACCAGCUGGCUGCAACUGUUUAUUAAAAACACAGCACUGUGCAAACACGAAAGUGGACGUAUACGGUGUGACGCCUGCCCGGUGCCGGAAGGUUAAUUGAUGGGGUUAGCGCAAGCGAAGCUCUUGAUCGAAGCCCCGGUAAACGGCGGCCGUAACUAUAACGGUCCUAAGGUAGCGAAAUUCCUUGUCGGGUAAGUUCCGACCUGCACGAAUGGCGUAAUGAUGGCCAGGCUGUCUCCACCCGAGACUCAGUGAAAUUGAACUCGCUGUGAAGAUGCAGUGUACCCGCGGCAAGACGGAAAGACCCCGUGAACCUUUACUAUAGCUUGACACUGAACAUUGAGCCUUGAUGUGUAGGAUAGGUGGGAGGCUUUGAAGUGUGGACGCCAGUCUGCAUGGAGCCGACCUUGAAAUACCACCCUUUAAUGUUUGAUGUUCUAACGUGGACCCGUAAUCCGGGUUGCGGACAGUGUCUGGUGGGUAGUUUGACUGGGGCGGUCUCCUCCUAAAGAGUAACGGAGGAGCACGAAGGUUGGCUAAUCCUGGUCGGACAUCAGGAGGUUAGUGCAAUGGCAUAAGCCAGCUUGACUGCGAGCGUGACGGCGCGAGCAGGUGCGAAAGCAGGUCAUAGUGAUCCGGUGGUUCUGAAUGGAAGGGCCAUCGCUCAACGGAUAAAAGGUACUCCGGGGAUAACAGGCUGAUACCGCCCAAGAGUUCAUAUCGACGGCGGUGUUUGGCACCUCGAUGUCGGCUCAUCACAUCCUGGGGCUGAAGUAGGUCCCAAGGGUAUGGCUGUUCGCCAUUUAAAGUGGUACGCGAGCUGGGUUUAGAACGUCGUGAGACAGUUCGGUCCCUAUCUGCCGUGGGCGCUGGAGAACUGAGGGGGGCUGCUCCUAGUACGAGAGGACCGGAGUGGACGCAUCACUGGUGUUCGGGUUGUCAUGCCAAUGGCACUGCCCGGUAGCUAAAUGCGGAAGAGAUAAGUGCUGAAAGCAUCUAAGCACGAAACUUGCCCCGAGAUGAGUUCUCCCUGACCCUUUAAGGGUCCUGAAGGAACGUUGAAGACGACGACGUUGAUA